UUGAACGCUGGCGGCAUGCCUUACACAUGCAAGUCGAACGGCAUCGCGGGAAAGCUUGCUUUCCUGGCGGCGAGUGGCGAACGGGUGAGUAACACAUCGGAACGUACCGGCUAGUGGGGGAUAACCCGUCGAAAGACGGGCUAAUACCGCAUACGCUCUUCGGAGGAAAGCAGGGGACCUUUGGGCCUUGCGCUAGUCGAGCGGCCGAUGUCCGAUUAGCUAGUUGGUGGGGUAAAGGCCUACCAAGGCGACGAUCGGUAGCGGGUCUGAGAGGACGAUCCGCCACACUGGGACUGAGACACGGCCCAGACUCCUACGGGAGGCAGCAGUGGGGAAUCUUGGACAAAGGGGGCAACCCUGAUCCAGCAAUGCCGCGUGGGUGAAGAAGGCCUUCGGGUUGUAAAGCCCUUUCGGCAGGGAAGAAAUCGGCGGGGCGAAUAACCCUGCUGGAUGACGGUACCUGCAGAAGAAGCACCGGCUAACUACGUG
RNAcentral lists this ribosomal RNA (489 nucleotides) under uncultured bacterium. RNAcentral's name for it is "partial 16S ribosomal RNA". It matches the Rfam family "Bacterial small subunit ribosomal RNA", at positions 29 to 507 of the family's 1533-position model. The record is from RNAcentral.